RNAcentral lists this small RNA (1793 nucleotides) under Bos taurus (domestic cattle). RNAcentral's name for it is "sno-lncRNA1 transcript variant 2". The stretch from base 1716 to 1793 matches the Rfam family "Small nucleolar RNA SNORD116", at positions 1 to 78 of the family's 92-position model. The record is from RNAcentral. Lineage: Eukaryota; Metazoa; Chordata; Mammalia; Artiodactyla; Bovidae.
AAAAUCUGAACAAAAUGAGUGAGAACUCACUACCGUCUCCUCAUCGAAACUGAGGUCCAGCACGUUGCCUCCCUUGGGGUUAAGGGUGGGACUGGUUAGCAGUGAGGGCGUCUCCGACUGUGUCACACACACGCAUGGAGGAGCCAGGUCACCACCAUUUGCGAGGCUCCCGUGUGAGGGUGGGCCAUGUACAGAUAUUCUAGCGGCCCUCUUGGAAUACAAGGUCCAUGUAAAGGCACUGAGGAGCAUAGAGCCAUCUGGCUUGUCCAGUGGUGGUAGGUGUCGCAGUAGACCCUAGCCUCAGACAGUUGACGUCUUAGCUUGGAAAGGUGCAUUUUGUCCUGAUUCCUGCUGCAGAUGCACUAAUUGGGGCUCUGGUGAUGUCGAUUCUAAAGCAAUGAAGCUUCUGUGGUUUGUGAUUGGAGCCCCAGGUCAGGUCUGAGGCCCUCGCCGUUGCAUCCCUUUGGGUUGCUGAGAUUCCUGAGUGCCAUGUGGGCUGCAGUGGCUGCAGAGACCUGGGGGAAUGGUGGCAGUUGUGAAAGUUAAUAGGCCCAUUUCUGCCCUUGGCAGUGGCUGAAUUGCAACUCCUGUCACGUGCUUGAGUCUUGGAGGUCGCCAUGGACUAUGCUGUGGUCCUAGGCCUGCAUUCCUCCUGCAGGUUGGCCAGAGGCCCAGAGAAGAAUGUUUGUGCAGGUGAGGAAAAGUGCAGUGUGAUUUACUGGGACAAUAUGUCCGCUAGGCUUGCAGGCACUGUUGUUCUGUUUUCAGUAAUACAGUGGGGUCCUUUUGGAGCUGCCAUCAGCUGGGUACAGAGGACAGGGCAUUGCUUGUCCUUAGGAGGCUCGGUGAAAGGUGACCUUUGUGGCCUUGUUGUCCCACUGCCAAUAGAAGGACUCUCAAAGGGCAUCUUUGGUGCCUUGAAGAGUUGCAAUAAAGAGGCCAAGGAACCAGCCCAGUGGGUAGUUACGUGGUGUACGCACAUGCCCCUUGGCCGCCAUUUGUCUCUUCGGCCUGGAAUUAUCAAGAUUCCCUAAGGUUGGGGCCAGCCGGCCAGCCCUGAUAGCACCCAUGUGUUUGCCCCCCUGGCAGUGAAGCAUCAACCUUUGAGGACCACCACGGUUGUGAUAGACAUUGCUCAUUGGUUGGCAUACCAAGGCUGCCUCAGUGUAGGAGACAACAGCUCCCAUGGCACUAUGGCAGAGACCUGGCACAUCCACGGUCUUCCCUGGCAGGUCUUCUGAAGUCUUCCUGAAAGCAUCCCUGGUGAUCUGUGAGCCCUUGGUCGUGUUGCCCGCCUUCUUCCUGUGGGUCUUGCUGGAUGCUCAUUGUCCCUGUGAGCCGAGGCCCUGGAGGCUUCAGAUUUAGGUGAAGUUGCCACGUAUGACUGUCCAUCAGCCAGGAGAUGAACCCCCACCCGUGAGGCAGUGACUCAAGGUGCAAGGGAGUCCGGCAAGAAGUGUGGCGCACCCGAGUUGCUGCCACUGCUUUUUGGAUCACCCAGCACGGUACGGCUUCUCCUGCCCCAAGACGUGUUGUGAAUUUCAGGUUUCCUGGGACUGCCUGAGUGGUUGUACGUAUACAGGGACCGUUCCUCUUGCUGAGAAGCCUGAUGGCUCUGAGUUCCCCUGGCUGCUGGAGGACUCCCGGGUCACUGGCUCCUCCUGGGAGCAGCCCUUCCUGCCGUGAGGAGGUGGGCAGCAAGCCAGCACGUGCUCGGAUCGAUGAUGACACCCUCACAUGCAUUCCUUGGAAAAUCUGAACAAAAUGAGUGAGAACUCACUACCGUCUCCUCA